GUGAUGGACAGGGAGGCCUGGCAUGCUUCAGUUCAUGGGGUUGCAAAGAGCUGGAUAUGACUGAGCAACUGAACUGAACUAUCUUACUAUGAGCAACCUAGGAGACACUCACUCACUUCCAGUUAGUGAAAUACUAAGUUCUGAAUUCAGGUUUUCAUCGUCAACUCCUUGGACACCUCACUAGUUUUCCUGCUUCUGUCUUUUAUCCUUUGUAUCCAUUCUGUAUACCAGUUGCAUAUAUUCUUUGCAGAGAGCAACUCUCUGGUGCUGAAAUUGUGUUUCAGUGGCUCCUACUUGCCUUCAGGAUAAAGCCCAAAUUCCUUAGAACUGUAAAGUUUUUUCUCUUGGCAGCUGACUGAUGCCGAACCUCUUGCCUGUCUCCAGUCACACUAGGCUAUUUCAGGACUUUGUGCCUCUGAUCACCCUGUUUCUGGGGCCAUGGCCACCCUCUUCCACCCUCUGUGCCUCAUUCUGGUCUAUAUCUAAAAUCACCCCCAACAUGGGGGUGGCCCAGCCCUCUGCCACCUCACCUUCCAUGACAACACUCAGAGGAGCUAAUUAUGUUCCCAUAUCCAUGUGUUUAUAGGAAUUUCCAUCCCUCUUGCUAGACCAUGCAUUCCCUCAAUGCUGGGCUCCUUUGCACUCCAGUGCGUGUCCUGGUACUUGCUGUAUGCUUGUCUGAGUAUUUGUGGAAUCAGUGGCUGCCAUUUUUACAUGCUUUUUGUACUCUGGUUUAAAGUUUUCUCUUUCUCUACUUCAGUAGUAAUAACACGUUCUGCCAGGCCCCACAACUUUUAUAUAAGGUAUUAAUAAAUUAGAUAAGUAUAUAGCUCUGCCAUACAUAUGUUGUCAGGUGGUCAAACGUUCAACUUAUUUGUUGUGUAAGGUGUAGUUUACUUUGAAAGCAGGCCUGAUUAACAUCUUCACUAACUGUGUUCUGUGUUCUAGAAGAUAGUGCAGCCUUAGAUAUAAAAUCAUCUAAAGUGUCUGACUUGAUUGUUUCUGUUAGAAUUGGGAACAUAAAGUUUUUAAAUUUUUUUAACCUUCCUAUGCCCCAAGGAGAACUAGUUCUCAAAUUCUUAAUUCUUCUGAUCAUUUUAGUUACUUGAAAAAACAAACCCAACCAGAUCUCACUGUUGAGGCCAAAAUCUGAUAAUUUAAAGUCAACUACUCUCUUACUUGGCAGCUCUGUUCAUUUUCUAUUGCUACAUAACAAAUUACCGCAUUCUUAGCAGCUUGAAACAAUACCUGUUUAUCAGCUCACAGUUCUGUAAGUCAGAAGUUAGGGCUGCACACUGGACUGAAACCAUGCUGUUGGCCAAGUCUGCUGUUCUCAUUUGGGGAUUCAAGCUCUCUUGUAAGAUGUCUGGUAUUGACAGAACUCAUUUCUUUGCAUUGAAGUCCUUGUUAGCCUUCUGGCUGUUGGCUGGGGACCACACUCACUCCUAGAAGCCACUGGCAGUUUCUUCUAGUGUGGCCCUAAUGGGCAGUUCAUGACACAUUUGCUCUUUUCCAGGCUAGCUCAAGCACAUCCCUGACAGCUUCUGUGACCAGAGAACUUACUCUCCUUUAAAAAGGUGCAUUUGAUUAGAUCGGGUCCACCCAGUGUAGCUGUCCUUUUGCCAUAUAACAUAAUUGAAAGAGUGAUAUCAUAUUCAAGGGCUACCUACACCCAGAGGAAUAGGGAAUUAAACAGGGUACCAGUGCAUUCUAAAGGAGAUCAGCCCUGGGAUUUCUUUGGAAGGAAUG
This 1749-nucleotide long non-coding RNA is filed under the name Capra hircus (goat). RNAcentral describes it as "lncRNA (ENSCHIG00010016513.1)". The record is from RNAcentral. Lineage: Eukaryota; Metazoa; Chordata; Mammalia; Artiodactyla; Bovidae.